This 915-nucleotide ribosomal RNA is filed under the name Triticum aestivum (bread wheat). RNAcentral describes it as "partial small subunit ribosomal RNA". The record is from RNAcentral. Lineage: Eukaryota; Viridiplantae; Streptophyta; Magnoliopsida; Poales; Poaceae.
AUGGACCACCCCCCGCGCCACGGCCUCCCGCCGUCCUCCUCCUCCUCCUCCUCCGGCGCUGCCGCGGCGGCGCCGGCGACCUCGCCGGAGUUCUUGCUGCCGCCGAGCCGCCUCCCGCUGGAGGACAUCCUCUUCUGCGUCGACGUGGACGCCGAGGCGCGCUCCGAGAUGAAGGUCGCCGCCGCGUCCGCGUCCCCCGCCUCCUCCGGCUCCACCGGCUCCCCCGGCCCCGGCGCGCUCAUGGAUCCGGCGGCGCCCCCCCGCCCCGCGCGCCCGGCGGUGCGGCGGAUGGACGCCGUCAAGCAGGCGCUCAUGCUCUUCCUCCACAGCAAGCUCACCAUGUGCCCCGACCACCGCUUCGCCUUCGCCUCCCUCCGCGACACCGUCUCCUUGAUAAGCAAAGAAUUCACCAGUGAUGCUGCUUCUUCAAUUGAUACAAUCCGGUCGUUGGCUGCUACUGAAACGAGAUAUGCAGUGGCUGAUCUCACUCAUCUCUUCAAGAUAGCGUACGAGGAAGGGAAAAGGGCAGAAACGCAAGGGCGACUACUUAGAGUGGUGCUCAUCUACUGCCGGUCCUCAACCAAGCCCCACCAUCUGUGGCCCGUAAAGCCAAAGAACUUCACCAUGGACAUAGUCUAUCUGCACGACAAGCCUACUGCUGAUAACUGCCCACAAAAUGUGUAUGACGCGCUGGUUGAUGCCCUCGAGCAUGUCAGCCAGUACGAGGGCUACAUUCUUGAGAGCGGCCAAGGGCUUGCCCGGGUCCUGUUCCGCCAGAUAUGCAUCAUCUUAUCACACCCCUUGCUACGCUGCAUGCAAGAUGACCUUGAUAUACCCAAGCAAGUUGUUAAGAAAAUUCUGGCCAUUGAAGGUGUGCAGAGCGAAGAUGGCGCUCCGGCCUCCGGCAGCCAGUAG